RNAcentral lists this ribosomal RNA (460 nucleotides) under uncultured bacterium. Its description in RNAcentral is "partial 16S ribosomal RNA". It matches the Rfam family "Bacterial small subunit ribosomal RNA", at positions 338 to 795 of the family's 1533-position model. The record is from RNAcentral.
CCUACGGGUGACAGCAGUGAGGAAUAUUGGUCAAUGGACGAGAGUCUGAACCAGCCAAGUAGCGUGAAGGAUGACUGCCCUAUGGGUUGUAAACUUCUUUUAUAUGGGAAUAAAAUGUUCCACGUGUGGGAUUUUGUAUGUACCAUAUGAAUAAGGAUCGGCUAACUCCGUGCCAGCAGCCGCGGUAAUACGGAGGAUCCGAGCGUUAUCCGGGUUUAUUGGGUUUAAAGGGAGCGUAGGUGGAUUGUUAAGUCAGUUGUGAAAGUUUGCGGCUCAACCGUAAAAUUGCAGUUGAAACUGGCAGUCUUGAGUACAGUAGAGGUGGGAGGAAUGCGUGGUGUAGCGGUGAAAUGCUUAGAUAUCACGAAGAACACCGAUUGCGAAGGCAGUUCACUGGACUGCAACUGACACUGAGGCUCGAAAGUGUGGGUAUCAAACAGGAUUAGAUACCCGGGUAGUC